UUGAGCCCACAUGGGUGCGUG
Molecule: unclassified non-coding RNA, 21 nt
Filed under: Chlamydomonas reinhardtii
Lineage: Eukaryota; Viridiplantae; Chlorophyta; Chlorophyceae; Chlamydomonadales; Chlamydomonadaceae
Description: small RNA Cre_3899
Source: RNAcentral